AAUAGAUACCCGGGUAGUCCACGCCCUAAACGAUGUCAACUAGCUGUUGGGGCCUUCGGGCCUUGGUAGCGCAGCUAACGCGUGAAGUUGACCGCCUGGGGAGUACGGUCGCAAGAUUAAAACUCAAAGGAAUUGACGGGGACCCGCACGAAAGCGGUGGAUGAUGUGGAUUAAUUCGAUGCAACGCGAAAAACCUUACCUACCCUUGACAUGUCUGGAAUGCCGAAGAGAUUUGGUAGUGCUCGCAAGAGAACCGGAACACAGGUGCUGCAUGGCUGUCGUCAGCUCGUGUCGUGAGAUGUUGGGUUAAGUCCCGCAACGAGCGCAACCCUUGUCAUUAGUUGCUACGAAAGGGCACUCUAAUGAGACUGCCGGUGACAAACCGGAGGAAGGUGGGGAUGACGUCGAAGUCCUCAUGGCCCCUUAUGGGUAGGGCUUCACACGUCAUACAAUGGUCGGGACAGAGGGUCGCCAACCCGCGAGGGGGAGCCAAUCCCAGAAACCCGAUCGUAGUCCGGAUCGCAGUCUGCAA
Molecule: ribosomal RNA, 532 nt
Filed under: uncultured bacterium
Lineage: Bacteria
Description: bacterial SSU rRNA
Rfam family: Bacterial small subunit ribosomal RNA
Source: RNAcentral